CAUUGCGAAGCUCAGAGCGUUAACCUUUUAAGUUAAAAUUAGAAACAAUAGUUUCCACAAUGA
RNAcentral lists this transfer RNA (63 nucleotides) under Uranomys ruddi (white-bellied brush-furred rat). RNAcentral describes it as "tRNA-Lys". Lineage: Eukaryota; Metazoa; Chordata; Mammalia; Rodentia; Muridae. The record is from RNAcentral.